This 911-nucleotide ribosomal RNA is filed under the name Psathyrella ramicola. Its description in RNAcentral is "eukaryotic LSU rRNA". It matches the Rfam family "Eukaryotic large subunit ribosomal RNA", at positions 52 to 949 of the family's 3401-position model. Lineage: Eukaryota; Fungi; Basidiomycota; Agaricomycetes; Agaricales; Psathyrellaceae. The record is from RNAcentral.
GGAGGAAAAGAAACUAACAAGGAUUCCCCUAGUAACUGCGAGUGAAGCGGGAAAAGCUCAAAUUUAAAAUCUGGUGGUCUUUGGCCAUCCGAGUUGUAAUCUAGAGAAGUGUUACCCGCGUCGGACCGUGUACAAGUCUCCUGGAACGGAGCGUCAUAGAGGGUGAGAAUCCCGUCUUUGACACGGACUACCGAGGCUUUGUGGUGCGCUCUCAACGAGUCGAGUUGUUUGGGAAUGCAGCUCAAAAUGGGUGGUAAAUUCCAUCUAAAGCUAAAUAUUGGCGAGAGACCGAUAGCGAACAAGUACCGUGAGGGAAAGAUGAAAAGAACUUUGGAAAGAGAGUUAAACAGUACGUGAAAUUGCUGAAAGGGAAACGCUUGAAGUCAGUCGCGUUGGCCGGAAAUCAGCCUUGCUUUUGCUUGGUGUACUUUCUGGUUGACGGGCCAGCAUCAGUUUUGACCGGUGGAAAAAGUCCAAGGGAAUGUGGCAUCUUCGGAUGUGUUAUAGCCCUUGGUCGUAUACAUCGAUUGGGACUGAGGAACUCAGCACGCCGCAAGGCCGGGUCUUUGACCACGUUCGUGCUUAGGAUGCUGGCAUAAUGGCUUUAAUCGACCCGUCUUGAAACACGGACCAAGGAGUCUAACAUGCCUGCGAGUGUUUGGGUGGAAAACCCGGACGCGUAAUGAAAGUGAAAGUCGAGAUCCUUGUCAUGGGGAGCAUCGACGCCCGGACCAGAAGUUUUCUGACGGCCCUGCGGUAGAGCAUGUAUGUUGGGACCCGAAAGAUGGUGAACUAUGCCUGAAUAGGGUGAAGCCAGAGGAAACUCUGGUGGAGGCUCGUAGCGAUUCUGACGUGCAAAUCGAUCGUCAAAUUUGGGUAUAGGGGCGAAAGACUAAUCGAACCAUCUAGUA